UACGUAGGGGGCUAGCGUUGUCCGGAAUCAUUGGGCGUAAAGCGCGUGUAGGCGGUUCGGUAAGUCCGCUGUGAAAGUCGGGGGCUCAACCCUCGGAUGCCGGUGGAUACUGUCGGACUAGAGUGUUGCAGGGGAGACUGGAAUUCCUGGUGUAGCGGUGAAAUGCGCAGAUAUCAGGAGGAACACCAGUGGCGAAGGCGGCUCACUGGCCCGAUACUGACGCUGAGGCACGAAAGCGUGGGGAGCAAACAGG
RNAcentral lists this ribosomal RNA (253 nucleotides) under uncultured bacterium. Its description in RNAcentral is "partial 16S ribosomal RNA". It matches the Rfam family "Bacterial small subunit ribosomal RNA", at positions 524 to 776 of the family's 1533-position model. The record is from RNAcentral.